UCGAAUCCCCGAACCCGGUUCCGAUAUUUAUUUUUACUCCAGUGUUCUACUCACAAACUGCAGUGCAAAAGCAGCUAAGGCAAUCCUAAUGUUGCAUCACCUCGCAGGUGCAAGCCGCUUCGCAGUUCUUUCCACCCCUGGGAUAUCACACAUCGCCGUUCCAUGCUUCGCCGACUGCUGGUGUCUACAACAUACCUCACUUCUAUCCGAGUCAAAACAGCCUUGGGUUUGCCUUCCGCGGAAGUCAUGCCAGGACCCCCAGUCACGUCUCCUCCGGGAGUUGCCGAGACACUUCCUGUUCCUCUGACGACUGUUGUAUUGAGACGAACGGCGGGAAUCUCUGUGUGCCCCUUGCGCCUACAACUGGCACUGCGCAGCGAGAAUGUGUACGCCAGAAACAAUGCAGAAGGAAUCAGGAAUGCCCAACUAACUUUUGCUGCGUAUUCGACUUUCUGACGUCAACAGCAGGGUCCACCUGCAAUCCUCGCUCACGGUACACUACCCCAAGGCCGACACUGUACCACACCCACAGCGCUGGGCCCCCAUCUACGUCAUCACCGUCACCUCUACCUGGUCUGUGUGUUGCUAGAGUACAGAUUGUUGGUGGCCUGUGCUAUCGUCCCCUCCCGGGACAGGACACACCUUCCUGCUCUUGUGACUCCAGCGUUGCCUCUAUCGCGUGUACAUUUAGUACUCAAGGAUCAAUCGCAGGCAUUUGCACACCCACAAUUUAACCACAUUUGUGAAAACUAUUUUUGCCUUUGAAAGUUCAGUGAUUAUAAAAACGUGUUUGGCUAAAUUAUCAAAAUAGGCCUACUGUUUGGUUCCAUUAGAUCAAUUUGAAUAAAUAUUGCAAAUUUGCGAAGAAAGGAA
Aplysia californica (California sea hare) is the source of this 873-nucleotide long non-coding RNA. RefSeq lists it as uncharacterized. NCBI's taxonomy places the organism in Eukaryota, Metazoa, Mollusca, Gastropoda, Aplysiida, Aplysiidae. The transcript is spliced from 2 exons. The record is from RefSeq and is a predicted model, not a curated record.